UUCCUGGUGGUCCAGGGGCUAGGACUCCAAGCUCCCAAUGCAGGGGGCCCAGGUUCGAUCCCUGGUCAGGGAA
Non-coding RNA from Bos taurus (domestic cattle), 73 nucleotides. NCBI's taxonomy places the organism in Eukaryota, Metazoa, Chordata, Mammalia, Artiodactyla, Bovidae. The record is from Rfam.